UAUUUAAAUAGUUAUUAAUUUAAUAGGUUGAUUAUUUAUAUGUUAAAAUAAGAAUAUUAUAGUUUUAUUAUGGGGGUCGAAUAAAUUUUAAUUAUGAUAGUUUAUUAGUACCGAGAGGGAAAGUUUUAGUAAUUUUAAAAAGAAAAAUUUAAUUUUUGUACCUUGUGUAUCAGGGAUUAUUAAAUUUAAUUUAUUUAUUUAAUUUUCUCGAAUUUAGAAGGGCUAGCUUUGUAUAUAUAUUAUUAUGAAAUAAAUAUUUAAAAUAUGGGGCUAGAAAUGAAAUGUUAUUCGUUUCUAAAUAUAUCUAGUUUCUUAAGAAACAAAUUUAAUUUGAUCAAUUAUUAUUAAUUUUCUUUAUUUUUAGUUAAUUAUUUUGAUUGAUUUAUGUCUAGGGGGAUGAGCUUUUGGAUUGAACAUUAAAAAUUUAGAUAGUAUAUUUAAAGUUUAUAGGAUUGGAAGUUUUCAUUUUUAAAAUAGUUUUAUAACUUAUUUUGUAUUAAGUAUUAUUUAUAUUUUUUUUAAGUUUUUUAUUAAGAUAUAUUUUAUAAUUUUUAUUUGAUUAGGAAAAAUGAUUGUAUUAGUAUAAUUUUUUGUAUUAGUAACUUAAUUUUGUUAGGUUAAUGAAAGGAAUUCGGCAAAAGAUUUUUCACCUGUUUAUUAAAAACAUGGCCUUUUGAUUAUAAUUUAAGGUCUAGCCUGCCCACUGAGUAGUUUAAUGGCUGCGGUAACCUGACCGUGCGAAGGUAGCAUAAUCAUUAGUUUUUUAAUUGAAAGCUGGAAUGAAUGGCUGAAUGAGAAAAUAACUGUCUCUCAUUAAUUUUAUUUAGAAUUUUAUUUUUCAGUAAGAAAGCUUAAAUUUUGUUAAAAGACGAGAAGACCCUAUAGAGUUUUAUAAAUUUUAGUAUUUGAACUUUUAGUAUUAUUACCUUAAUUAUUAAAAUUUAUUUGGUUGGGGAGAUUGAAAAAUUAAUUUAACUUUUUUUUUAUUUAAUCACUAAUUUGUGAAUUCUUGAUCCAUUAAUUAUGAUUAUAAGAUAAAAUUACCUUAGGGAUAACAGCGUAAUCUUUUUUUAGAGUUCUAAUCGAAAGAAAGGUUUGCGACCUCGAUGUUGGAUUAAAAUUAAUUUUGGGUGCAGAAGCUCAAAAUUUUAGGUCUGUUCGACCUUUAAAAUUUUACAUGAUCUGAGUUUAAACCGGUGUAAGCCAGGUUGGUUUCUAUCUUUAAUUUCUUUGUAAUAUUUUAGUACGAAAGGACCGAUUAUUAAAUAAUUUAUUUUGAUUUUGAAUAUUAUU
RNAcentral lists this ribosomal RNA (1293 nucleotides) under Aesa media. RNAcentral describes it as "large subunit ribosomal RNA". The stretch from base 598 to 1293 matches the Rfam family "Archaeal large subunit ribosomal RNA", at positions 1423 to 2825 of the family's 2987-position model. Lineage: Eukaryota; Metazoa; Arthropoda; Insecta; Coleoptera; Cerambycidae. The record is from RNAcentral.